UGGUUACACACAUUAGUAGCAGUCGGGCGUUGACUGUCAUUCCGCUGACAGGUAAAAUCAAAAGAAAAAAAUAUGGGCAUUUAUGUAUAACGUUACAUGCACAUUCGUGCACCUGUGUGAACACCCUCGGUAUCACUUGGGCCACAUAAUAUUUCUUAUUCACUGUUUUCCGGCAUUGAUAUGUAUUAAAUAUCAAAAUGUCAGUGAAUCUGACGAAAAAUCAAGAAUCGCUUAGCGCUGCAUGGCGAAGCGUAGUCGACGACAAAUCCACCACAGAUUGGGCUCUAUUUAGUUACGAAGGUCAAAGUAACGAUUUGAAGGUAGUCAGCACAGGAGAUGGAGGACUACAAGAAAUGAUCGAAGAAUUAAACAGUGGCAAAAUAAUGUACGCAUUCUGCCGUGUCAUUGAUGAAAAAACAAGUCUGCCAAAAUGUGUUUUGAUAAAUUGGCAGGGAGAAGGGGCGCCAAUAGUGAGGAAAGGAACAUGCGCUAAUCACAUCAGGGAUAUAGAAAAACUGUUAAAAGGAGCUCAUGUAACUAUAAAUGCACGUACAGAAGAAGAGGUCGAAGUUGACCUAAUAAUGGACAAAUUAGCCCGUGCCACUGGCUCCAGCUAUAAGUUUAAUGAACCUCGAGGUGAAAAUGGUGGCCAAUUAGGUCCGGUCGGCACCACGUACCGCAGAGUGAUACCUGAACAGGAAAUAAAUGCCAGCGAACGUGACCAGUUCUGGCAGCGAGAGGAACUCGAGGAAAAACAAAGACUUGAAGAAGAGCGUUUACGACGAGACCAGGAACGUCUAAAACUUGAACUAGAACGUCGUUCUAGAGAAGAAAAAGAAAGCGAGCUUAGAGAUGCUCAGGUUACAGCUAAGGAAAGUAUAGUAACAAAACACAGACAAGCAGAGUUACGAGCUGAAGAGAUCACAAAUUUCCGAAAUCAACAGAACACUGAAACUCAACGAAGCACUGACUCAGAUGAAGAAAGAAAAUCGCGCAGCGAAGAAUUACGUAGGCAACGUAGUAAAGAAACACAGCAACUUAUCGCGCAGCGAACGAUAAAUGCGAGAGCUGUUUUUGAGCAAAAUACAGCAGCUGGCCAAAUGAAGAGCAUGUCAUUUGUCCCAAAGGCUAGUGAGCUUGAAACUCGUGUCGAAUCGAACAAUAUUGUUAAUCGGAACAUGGAAAGUGUUAGUGAAGUAAAUACUGACCCACAAAUACCAAUUGAAAAUGUCGGGAAAAUAAUAGGAACAGAGCCAGGAAUCCCGCAAUCUCAGGUUGACGCUCCACUAGCAGCGCAGAUUACUGCCUCUCCACAAAGUCAACCCAAGGAUAGUAAAUCGCAUAAUGCUCAGCCUGAUAUAGAAGAGACUGCAGAGCUCAACGUUCAGGAGACCGAAACUGAGCUAUAUAACCAGCUGGAAGAAGGCUCGUACGUUUAUUUCGACCCGAAUAACGAAGGAAUGAAAGCAAGAGCUCUCUACGAUUACCAAGCUGCUGAUAAUACCGAGAUUACAUUCGACCCUGGAGAUGUAAUCACGCAUAUUGACGCAAUAGAUGAAGGAUGGUGGCAAGGGUUAGGACCCGAUGGAACCUAUGGUUUAUUUCCAGCAAAUUACGUAGAAGUUAUUGAGUAAUAUUUCCAAUGAAAUAUAUAUUUACGUUUGAUGGCAGCUUGCCGGCGGUGACAACUUUGCACUGUGUAUGGUAUUCCUGUUCAAGAAUUUUACAGCAGACACUGGGGAGGGUCAAAAACUACUUUGCUGAUUUUCACUGUUUCUUACUCCUGCAUUGUUGUGUAAUCGUGGAAGAUGAAGCUAGCGGGAGUUAUCGUGUCCAGCGCGAAAAUACAGGCUCUCCGAAAACCAGUUCAGAACAACUGAGUUUUCAACAUUUUUUGAUAAAAAUUUUACGAAACACAGUUCAAAAGGUUGGUCUCUCACAUACCUCAAGUUUGAUUAAAAUAAUUCUUCUAUUAUAUUUAAAAAAAAAUAAGAAAAAAUGGAUUAUUUCAAAGUUCAAAACCCACGUAACCCCUUAAAAUGAUCAGACUAUGUCUGGCCGUAUUUUUAUAAUUGUUUAGCCUUCAUAUGAAAUUUCAAUUUCAAGAAUGACAUGCAAACCAAAGGAAAUUACUGUUUUCUUUACCUAUGAACCUCCUUGUACAUUGUUAACUGCAAAACUAAAACUGUGACGUGUAAGCCAGUGAGAAUCCGAAGAAAUUGUUUUCUUCGAUUUUUUUGUCAGCCACCCUCAUUGUACAUCUGAUAUAAAAUUGCGAUGAAAUGUUCUUUUUUAACUCCCGAGUUUCAGACUAACCGCUCUAUGUACAAUAUAAUUAUUUUAUUCUUAUUUUAUUAUAUUACGCAGAAGUACCAUUAUAUUCAAGUGAUUUCAAAGAAUAAAAGAAUCAUAUUUCCAA
Molecule: RNA transcript, 2419 nt
Organism: Diprion similis
Lineage: Eukaryota; Metazoa; Arthropoda; Insecta; Hymenoptera; Diprionidae
Gene: Abp1
Gene name: drebrin-like protein
Exons: 7
Source: RefSeq, a predicted model, not a curated record